This 253-nucleotide ribosomal RNA is filed under the name uncultured bacterium. RNAcentral describes it as "partial 16S ribosomal RNA". It matches the Rfam family "Bacterial small subunit ribosomal RNA", at positions 524 to 776 of the family's 1533-position model. The record is from RNAcentral.
UACGAAGGGGGCUAGCGUUGCUCGGAAUCACUGGGCGUAAAGGGCGCGUAGGCGGCCAUUCAAGUCGGGGGUGAAAGCCCAGGGCUCAACCCUGGAAUUGCCUUCGAUACUGUUUGGCUAGAGACCGGAAGAGGUAAGUGGAACUGCGAGUGUAGAGGUGAAAUUCGUAGAUAUUCGCAAGAACACCGGUGGCGAAGGCGGCUUACUGGUCCGGUUCUGACGCUGAGGCGCGAAAGCGUGGGGAGCAAACAGG